GCUGAAGUGGCGGAACUGGCAGACGCGCUGGAUUUAGGUUCCAGUGUCAUUAAGACGUGUGGGUCCGAAUCCCACCUUCAGUA
RNAcentral lists this transfer RNA (83 nucleotides) under Levilactobacillus brevis. RNAcentral describes it as "Lactobacillus brevis tRNA-Leu". It matches the Rfam family "tRNA". From Rfam's summary of the family: Transfer RNA (tRNA) molecules are approximately 80 nucleotides in length. Their secondary structure includes four short double-helical elements and three loops (D, anti-codon, and T loops). Further hydrogen bonds mediate the characteristic L-shaped molecular structure. tRNAs have two regions of fundamental functional importance: the anti-codon, which is responsible for specific mRNA codon recognition, and the 3' end, to which the tRNAs corresponding amino acid is attached (by aminoacyl-tRNA synthetases). tRNAs cope with the degeneracy of the genetic code in two manners: having more than one tRNA (with a specific anti-codon) for a particular amino acid; and 'wobble' base-pairing, i.e. permitting non-standard base-pairing at the 3rd anti-codon position. Lineage: Bacteria; Bacillati; Bacillota; Bacilli; Lactobacillales; Lactobacillaceae. The record is from RNAcentral.